This 497-nucleotide ribosomal RNA is filed under the name uncultured bacterium. RNAcentral's name for it is "partial 16S ribosomal RNA". It matches the Rfam family "Bacterial small subunit ribosomal RNA", at positions 28 to 507 of the family's 1533-position model. The record is from RNAcentral.
GAUGAACGCUGGCGGCGUGCCUAAUACAUGCAAGUCGAGCGAACGGACGAGAAGCUUGCUUUUCUGAUGUUAGCGGCGGACGGGUGAGUAACACGUGGAUAACCUACCUAUAAGACUGGGAUAACUUCGGGAAACCGGAGCUAAUACCGGAUAAUAUUUUGAACCUCAUGGUUCAAAAGUGAAAGACGGUCUUGCUGUCACUUAUAGAUGGAUCCGCGCUGCAUUAGCUAGUUGGUAAGGUAACGGCUUACCAAGGCAACGAUGCAUAGCCGACCUGAGAGGGUGAUCGGCCACCCUGGAACUGAGACACGGUCCAGACUCCUACGGGAGGCAGCAGUAGGGAAUCUUCCGCAAUGGGCGAAAGCCUGACGGAGCAACGCCGCGUGAGUGAUGAAGUUCUUCGGAUCGUAAAACUCUGUUAUUAGGGAAGAACAUAUGUGUAAGUAACUGUGCACAUCUUGACGGUACCUAAUCAGAAAGCCACGGCUAACUACGUG